UUUUCUACGAUAUUAGAAGUGGAAUCCGAUCUGGAUUUUGCAUCUGUUAUGGCCCACGUUGUCUUUUCUGAACUUCAAGUGCACGAGUGCCCUAAUAGAAUGACGUUGAGGCUUUGAACUUGAUUUUACUUACAUCAUCCGAAUUAUCUGAACUUCGAGAACUUUUGAAAAAGUCACUCACGAACCCCGUUGGGAAGGACUUAUUUGUUUCGUUGUAUGCUUCAUGGCGCCACUCACCCAUGGCAAUCAUAAGUCUCUGCUUAUCAGCUCAGGAAACUGUUUAGAAUUCCAUUGUAACACCAGCAUGCAAGUGCUGUAAUCCAGUCUCUGGUGGAGGAGGAUAUUGCAUUCAGAGAGUUUGUUCUUCGUGAGCUCCGUGCGGCUGCUGGUGCUGUCACAAUCACGUCUCUCAUGGUCAGUACGGUGUUCUUUUCAGUCCCAUGCUUUAGCAGAUUUAAAUAUGAGUAUCCUUUAUUUCAUCAUGCAUCUUUGUUAUUUAUGAGCCUAAUGAUUUUCUAAAUAGCUAAAUGAAAUGUCCAACAUGUUCAUUUAGGGUUUUGGGAUGCUAGCUAUAAAACUAAUCCGGUGAUCUGUAAAUUUCCUUACUCUAGUUC
Long non-coding RNA from Morus notabilis, 614 nucleotides. RefSeq lists it as uncharacterized. The transcript has 3 exons. The record is from RefSeq and is a predicted model, not a curated record. Lineage: Eukaryota; Viridiplantae; Streptophyta; Magnoliopsida; Rosales; Moraceae.